GUGUCAGCCGCCGCGGUAAUACGGGGGGGGCAAGCGUUGUCCGGAAUUAUUGGGUGUAAAGGGCGCGUAGGCGGAUUUGUAAGUCAGUGGUGAAAUCUCGGGACUUAACUCCGAGACUGCCUCUGAGACUGCUUUUCUUGAGUGUGGAAGAGGAAAUCGGAAUUCCCGGUGUAGCGGUGAAAUGCGUAGAUAUCGGGAAGAACACCAGUGGCGAAGGCGGAUUUCUGGUCCACAACUGACGCUGAGGCGCGAAAGCGUGGGUAGCAAACAGGAUUAGAAACCCUCGUAGUCC
Molecule: ribosomal RNA, 292 nt
Filed under: uncultured bacterium
Lineage: Bacteria
Description: partial 16S ribosomal RNA
Rfam family: Bacterial small subunit ribosomal RNA
Source: RNAcentral